AUUGAACGCUGGCGGCAGGCCUAACACAUGCAAGUCGAGCGGAUGAAGGGAGCUUGCUCCUGGAUUCAGCGGCGGACGGGUGAGUAAUGCCUAGGAAUCUGCCUGGUAGUGGGGGAUAACGUCCGGAAACGGGCGCUAAUACCGCAUACGUCCUGAGGGAGAAAGUGGGGGAUCUUCGGACCUCACGCUAUCAGAUGAGCCUAGGUCGGAUUAGCUAGUUGGUGGGGUAAAGGCCUACCAAGGCGACGAUCCGUAACUGGUCUGAGAGGAUGAUCAGUCAAACUGGAAGUGGGACACGGUCCAGACUCCUACGGUAAGAAGCAGUGGGGUAUAUUGGACAGUGGGAGAGAGCCUGAUCCAGCCAUGCCGCGUGUGUGGAGAAGGUCUUGGGACUGGGAAGCAGUUGAAGUUGGGAGGAAGGGCAGUAAGUUAAUACCUUGCUGUUUUGACGGUACCAGCAGAAUAAGCACCGGCUAACUUCGUG
This 484-nucleotide ribosomal RNA is filed under the name uncultured bacterium. RNAcentral describes it as "partial 16S ribosomal RNA". It matches the Rfam family "Bacterial small subunit ribosomal RNA", at positions 30 to 507 of the family's 1533-position model. The record is from RNAcentral.